AGAGUUUGAUCAUGGCUCCGGAUGAACGCUAGCGGGAGGCUUAACACAUGCAAGUCGAGGGGUAACGAUAUCUUCGGAUAGUCGACGACCGGCGCACGGGUGAGUAACAGGUAUGCAACCUACCCUUAACAGGAGGAUAGCCCGAAGAAAUUCGGAUUAAUACUCCAUAACAUUUGUAAAUCGCAUGAUUUACUUUUUAAAGCUCCGGCGGUUAAGGAUGGGCAUGCUUAAUAUUAGCUAGUUGGUAAGGUAACGGCUUACCAAGGCUACGAUAUUUAGGGGUUCUGAGAGGACGAUCCCCCACACUGGUACUGAGACACGGACCAGACUCCUACGGGAGGCAGCAGUGAGGAAUAUUGGUCAAUGGGCGCAAGCCUGAACCAGCCAUCCCGCGUGUAGGAUGACGGCCUUAUGGGUUGUAAACUACUUUUAUAUAGGAAGAAACUUUUCUACGUGUAGAAAACUGACUGUACUAUACGAAUAAGCAUCGGCUAACUCCGUGCCAGCAGCCGCGGUAAUACGGAGGAUGCAAGCGUUAUCCGGAUUUAUUGGGUUUAAAGGGUGUGUAGGCGGAUUAAUAAGUCAGUGGUGAAAUCCUACAGCUUAACUGUAGAACUGCCAUUGAUACUGUUAACCUUGAGUAUAGUUGAGGUAGGCGGAAUGUGUUGUGUAGCGGUGAAAUGCUUAGAUAUAACACAGAACACCGAUUGCGAAGGCAGCUUACUAAACUAUUACUGACGCUGAGGCACGAAAGCGUGGGGAGCGAACAGGAUUAGAUACCCUGGUAGUCCACGCCGUAAACUAUGAUUACUCGUUGUGCGCAAUACACCGUGCGCGACUAAGCGAAAGCAUUAAGUAAUCCACCUGGGGAGUACGAUCGCAAGAUUGAAACUCAAAGGAAUUGACGGGGGCCCGCACAAGCGGAGGAACAUGUGGUUUAAUUCGAUGAUACGCGAGGAACCUUACCUGGGCUGAAAUGUAGAACGACAGAUCGGGAAACUGAUCUUUCUUCGGACGGACUACAAGGUGCUGCAUGGUUGUCGUCAGCUCGUGCCGUGAGGUGUCGGGUUAAGUCCCAUAACGAACGCAACCCCUAUCGUUAGUUGCUAGCAGGCAAUGCUGAGGACUCUAGCGAAACUGCCACCGUAAGGUGUGAGGAAGGUGGGGAUGACGUCAAAUCAGCACGGCCCUUAUGUCCAGGGCUACACACGUGUUACAAUGGUCGGUACAAGGGCAGCUACCUGGUGACAGGAUGCUAAUCUCCAAAACCGAUCCUAGUUCGGAUCGCAGUCUGCAACUCGACUGCGUGAAGUUGGAUUCGCUAGUAAUCGCGCAUCAGCCACGGCGCGGUGAAUACGUUCCCGGGCCUUGUACACACCGCCCGUCAAGCCAUGGAAGUUGGGGGUACCUAAAGUCCGUAACCGUAAGGAGCGGCCUAGGGUAAAACUGAUAACUAGGGCUAAGUCGUAACAAGGU
RNAcentral lists this ribosomal RNA (1476 nucleotides) under metagenome. RNAcentral's name for it is "bacterial SSU rRNA". It matches the Rfam family "Bacterial small subunit ribosomal RNA". The record is from RNAcentral.